GGGGUGGAGGUGGCCGGCGACGAGGGACGGAGGCGGCGCGACGGAGGCCGUGAUGAGGCGGCACAACGGAUGAGGGCAUGGCGGCGACGGAGGCGGUGGCGUUGACGGAGGCGGCGACGAGGCGGCACGACGAAGGCGGAGGCGAUGAGGUCGAGGGGGCGCGAUGGAGGAGGAGGCGGGUCGGGACGAUGGAGGAGGAGGCGGUCUGGGCAUGGGCGAGGUGGCCGGGGCGGCGGGUCGAUGGCGGUCGGGGCGAUGGGCGACGAGGACAACGGCAGCCGGCGAGGGAGGGCGCGGAUCUUUGUGACGGUGAAAAUUUUGCCUAAGUGUAACUAGCGUGGGAGGGGGGAGGUAGAAGAGGCUACAAUUGCUUUUAUCCCCUCCCCUUUUAUCCUGGUUCGUAAUUGAAUCCAAGACUAAAGGCCCUUUUGUCCCGGGUGCCAGUACCAACCGGGACAAAAGGUCCCCCCUUUUAUCCGAGUUGCAAACUGUAACCGGGAUAAAAGGGUACGUUCCCGGUGGGAAUCGAAAACUACCAUUUUAUCCCGGUUAUAGUUUUCAACCAGGAUAGGGGGUCUUUUAUCUCAGUUGCUAUUGGCACCCGGGAUAAAAGGGCCUUUUGUCCCGGUUGCUGUUGGCACCCGAGACAAAAGGGCCUUUUCCCACACUUUCGUCUCCCGCCUAUUUUUUGAAAAUGGAUUUUAUUUAUGUUUUCACUGCAUUCAGGAUGCAAAAACAAAAAAACUUUACAUAUUUUGAACAUACAAAAAUAUAUUAAAUUAGCAAGUAUAUUGACAAUAAGUGUGGAUGAGUCAUUAAUUCUAUACCAGUUCCUUUAGCUUCUAAAAUAAUUAUUUUACUCCAUCGCUAUGAUCAAGAAAUUAUCAAAUUAAAUAAUUUCAAUGCACGAAAAAUUCAAUUUAUGUAUGUGGUUAACUUUGUUCAUGUUUAUCUAAUAAACCUUCACCUCAACUAAUUUAAGCACACAUGAAAUCAUACAUAUGUCAAAUUAAAAAUUGUAUCAAGUAGUACAUAAAGCUGAAGUAAAUUUAGCGCAUUACAAUACAACGUUAUAAAAUUUCUUCUUCAUGAAAGUUCCUUGAUCAUAAUCGCGGUAUAAGUACGAAGCCUUUUCUUUGGAUAGCAGGAUGCUUGGGUCAACUUCAACAGCGAAUAGAGGCAUGCCAUCAAACUGAUCAUAAUCAUUUGAUUGGUUUGUUUUAUCCUCGACUCCCAUGAUUUUUUUUUACCUGGAAGAAUUAUGUGGCGCUUUGGCUCCCAUGGCUCUUUUAGAUUUCUCUUGGGUUUGCUGACAUGUCCUUCACAUAAAAAAUCUGAUGCACAUCAUUGGCAAGUACGAAUGGUUCAUCACUGUAUCCAGUCUUGCUCAGAUCCACUAUUGUCAUUCCGUCCUAAUCUUUGGUUACGGCAGUUAGCUUCACCCAAUUGCAAAGAAAUAGAGGGAUGUAGAGCGGUCCGUAUUCGAGUUCCCACAUCUCCUGUAUGAAACCAUAAUACGACUCCUUGCCAUUGUUUCUAUCUAUGGCAUCUAUGCAGACACCACUAUUCUGGUUUGUGCUUUUCUGGUCCUGGGCUCUCGUGUAAAAUGUAUAACCAUUUAUCUCAUAGCCUUGGAAUUUCAUGAUUGUGCUACCAGGUCCCCUGGCUAACCAAGCGAGCUGUGGGUGAAUCUUAGAGUUACCCAUAAGUUGUUGGCGCAACCAGGAGGGAAAAAUUUUCAUGUGAUGACGUGUAAGCCAAGCAUCGGAUUUCGUCGGGUUUUUGGAAACUACCAUCUGUGUGUUGCUCGAUAUACGGAGCCACAAAGGAUGACUAUUGCAGAACAGUGUAGUGUGCCUUGUUGAACAAAUCAGUAUCAUUGCUCAAACUUUAUUUCCUUCUAAGGGUGCCCAUUCCCCGCAGUCUCCCCUCAUGGCGUGAAGUUGGAACCCCAAUCGAGUCAAUUGAGUCAAUAAAAUCAACACAAAACUCGAUCACCUCCUCUAUUCCAUAUCCCUUGGCGAUGCUUUCUUCUGGACAGGCACGAUUAAGAACUUAGUUUUUUAGACUGACAUGAACCUCUCGAAAGGCCACAUAUUGUGCAAGUAUACAGGUCCGAGAAUACCAAUCUCUUUUACUAGGUGAACCAGGAAGUGCGUCAUAAUAUUGAAGAAGGAUGGUAGAAAUACCAACUCAAAACUCACAAGAUAUUGCACCACAUCGUUCUGUAGCUUUAAUAGCUUGGAUGGAUCGAUUGCCUUCUGCGAAAUCGCAUUGAUAAACGUGCAUAGCUUUAGGAGCGACAAUCAGAUAUUUUCUGAUAGAACACCCCUCACUGCAACCGGAAGCAACUGGGACAUCAACAUGUGGCAGUCAUGGGUCUUGAGAUUUGUAAACUUUUUUUGUUUUAUAUUUAUUAAUCCCUUUAUAUUCGAGAAGAAUCCAGAUGGGAUUUUCGUACUAUUCAAGCAUUUAAACAUGCUAUUCUUCUCUUACUUGCUUAGAGUGUAACUGGCAGGAUGUAAGUAGUGUUGUCCGUUAUCUCUCUUUUCCGGAGGUAGGUCAUCUCGUUGCCCCAUGGCUUUCAGGUCCUAUCGUGCUUCCAAUGUAUCUUUCAAGGUCCCAUAAACACCCAUGAAGCCUAGCAUGUUCACGCAAAGAUUCUUCAUUAGGUGCAUCACAUCUAUUGCGUUGCGGACCUCUAAGAUUUCCCGAUAAGGUAGCUCACAAAAUAUUGACUUUUUCUUCCACAUGGGUGCAUGUCCGUUAUCAUCGUUCUGAACAGGUUGGCUACCCUGACCCUUUCCAAAGACUACAUUUACAUCCUUUAUCAUCUCGAAGACAUGCUUUCCAUUACGGUGUGCAGGUUUUUUACGAUCGUCUGGCGCCCCUUUGAAAUGCAUUCUGCUCUUUCUCAGCUGGUGGUGAGAUAGGGAGAAAUCGACGAUGACCCAUAUAGACGACCUUCUUACAAUGCUUCAAAUACAUGCUGUUUGUGUUGUUUAAACAGUGAGUGCAGGUCCCAUAUCCCUUGUUUGUCUGCCCCGAAAGGUUACUCAGUGCAGGCCAAUCAUUGAUGGUUACGAACAAAAAUGCUCAUAGAUUAAAGAUCUCUUGUUUAUCCUCAUCCCACACACGUACACCUUCUUCCUUCCAAAGCUGUAAAAGUUCAUCAACCAACGGUCUUAGGUACACGUCAAUGUUGUUGCCGGGUUGUUUUGGGCCUUGGAUAAGUGCUGGCAUCAUAAUGAACUUCCGCUUCAUGCACAGCCAAGGAGGAAGGUUGAACAUACAUAGGGUCACACAAGUACUAUGACCACUACUCAACUCACUAAAUGGAUUGAAUCCAUCAGUACUUAAACUAAACCUUAUGUUCCUUACUUUACUUUCAAAGUCCGGGAAUGCUCUAUCAAUUGAUCUCCACUGACCCCAUCUGCGGGGUGUCUCAGCAUCUCAUCUUCCAUACGUUCUUCUUUGUGCCAUCGUAUGAACUUAGCAUUCCCCUUGUUUCUGAACAAGCGCUUCAAGCGUGGUAUUAUAGGGAAAUACCACAUGAUCUUCAUGGGAACUCUCUUCUUGGGAGACUGCCCCUCAACAUCACCUGGAUCAUCUCGCCUGAUCUUAUACCGUAGUGCUUUGCACACGGGACAAGCAUCCAUUUUCUCAUUUUUAUCACCACGAUAGAGGAUACAGUCAUUAGGGCAUGCGUGUAUCUUCUAAACCUCCAAUCCGAGAGGGCAAAUAAUCUAUUUAGCUUCAUAUGUUGUAGACGGUAAUUCAUUAUUCUCUGGAACAAUCUUCUUGGCAAUGUUCAACAUCCCCUGAAAUGGCUUAUCGGACACACUAUUUUUUGCCUUCCAUUGCACAAAUUCUAGUGUCGUACCUAGUUUUUUAUGGCGCUGCUGGCAAUCUGGGUACAACAAUUUUUGGUGAUCAUCUAUCAUGCGCUGCAACUUUGCUGCUUCCUUCUCAGUUUCGCAAUCUCUUUGUGCAUCUCGUAGCACCUGACCAAGGUCAUCAGUAGGGCCAUUUUCUGCAAACUCAUCUUCAUCAGCCUCGCUCAUUGUAGUAUCUGUAAAGUUUCGCCUGCAGCCCAGUCCGAAAUGUUGUCAUCAUCCUCCUCCUCUUCGCCGUCUUCCAUUACAACCCCUCUUUCACCGUGCUUGGUCCAAACCAAAUAGUUAGGCAUGAAACCGUAUCUAAAUAAGUGGCUGUGAAUAGUCCCCCAGGAAUCCUUUGAAUAGUCCUUCUUGUUACUGCAUUGGAAGCAUGGACAACAUACGAACCCAUUCUUUGGCUUGUUCGCUUUGGCCACUUCGAGAAAAUAAUGCAAGCCAUCAAUAAACACCUUGCUCCGUCUGCCUGCAUUAUAUAUCCAUUGCCGAUCCAUCUGCAUGGUAUUACGCAUGAAAAUAGAUUACGCGUGAAAAUAGAUUACACUUGAAAAUUGAUUACACAUGAAAAUUGAUUCACUAUUGAAAGCAUGUCAAACGUUGUAGUGCAAAUAAUGCUGAAAGUUUUUAUAUAGAUAGAAAUACACAUAUUUAAAUUACAGAUACAAACAACAUGAUACACUACGAUAAGCCAUCCACUGAUUAUUAUCUAGGAGAACUUUGAGCAUCCUUGGGCGGUGAAGACGAAGGUUCCGCUGACCCAGCCUCAUCCUGUGGUUUAUUUGUGCCUCCUGAAACGGUAGUACUAAGUGGACGUGAAACACCCGGGACUGACGGUGGAGCAUAAUGACCACCAAAAGGAGGUUCCUAACCCGCCGCAAUAGCAUCUUCAUGAAGUUUCUGCAAAUAACGAAGCAUUGCUUUCUCCAAUGUGCUCAUUUUCUUCGGCUUAUCCUGAGGGCUAACUAUGGUUUUCCCCUUGCCACAAGAGGAACGACGAUCGCCCCCACCAUCACCACUUCCACCAGUAGCAGAGGCCAUCUAUGUACAGAAAUUCAUACCUUAGCACUGCAGAACUUGUUGAACUUGAAGACCAUGAUCAUCUGCCGAGCAUGUUCUCAACUGGGCGGCACCGUACUUCAUCAUGGAAGAGUUUUGAUUCUAUGAAAAAGGGGACAUGGUCUUCCAUGAUGUCUGUAUCUGCUCUUUCUCGUAGAAUCGGAGCUCCUCCUUGACGUCCGUUGCUGCUCGGCGGAGAACAUGCAAACCGAGAUGGACACGGUAAUGCAAGUUCGACAAGUAUGGAUUUGAAAAACCAUAUUGAAUUUGACAAGAUAAACCAUCUAGACAAGGGUAGCAUCAUUCUUAAACCACUACAAGGAUACAUACUAUGUAUGACACAUCAAUCUCCCUCACAUUCUAGCUCAAAAUCAUCUCCAUUUUCUACUUUACAUUCUAGCAAAUAAACUAUCCAUCUCCAUUCUACACAUCAAGUUGUUUUAGCUAAUACGAAUCGUAUAUAGCAAGCAAACUAUCCAUCACAUUCUAGCUCAAAAACAUGUAUAAAUACAAAUCGUCUUCAUUCUCCCUCUUUCUAACAAACAAACUCAUUUUUCUUCCUCUCUAAAGAAUAAAUCAAAGCAUAACACGAGGAUGAAGUAGCAAACCUUCACAACACUUUGGAUGAUUAAAAUACCCACGAAAAUAAGGGAAAAAACUUCGAGCAGCACCUCCGUUGCUUCGGCACCACCGGAGAGUAGGUGAAGCUUAGCUCUCUGUCUUUGUGGUGGACUGGUUCGGGCUGGAGGAGGAAGAAAGGCUCUCUGUCUUGGUAUAUAAUGAGGGAUGAGUUUUUAUCCCGGUUGAAAACUCCAACUGGGAUAAAAAGGAACACCUUUUAUCCCGGUUGAAAGUUUAUUCCUGACUGGAGGCUCCAACCGGGACAAAAGGGACACGCCACCGACGCUCGGGAACUAGCUGUUACAACUGGGACUAAAGGGGGACCUUUAGUCCCGGUUGCAAAUACCAACCGGGAGUAAAUGUUCGCCCAUUCCAGCCUACCGUGGUGCAUAACCUUUUCUCUCAAGUCUAGAUUAAACCGGAACUAAAGGGGGAGAAUCGAAAGUCAGUUCUCUACUAGUGAUUGGGCCUUAGUGGCAACAAUGACCAUUAAAAAUUAAAAUCUUUUGUGGCUACUUUGCAUUUUAGCCAUAUGCGCCCGAUAUCUGAUACCUUAGGUGGUGUUUGGAUUAGUAGUUCAUGGACUAAACUUUAGCCCCUAAAAUUUUGUCCUGCUGGGCCGUUCGGAUCCAUGAAUUAAAAUGGGCUAAAAUCAAUAAAUGUUAUUGAAAAAGACACUAUUACCCUCUUUUCCUGCCCCUGGCGCAUACACCUUUUUCCCCAACCUUUGCACUCACCGCCCUUCUUCCUCCUCCAAAUCCGCAACGCGCACGGCGACCAGAAGCCACCGCCGCUGCCGACGGUUUUGCUCUUCAUUAUCUCGAAAAAGGAGAAAAUACCUUCGCAACAGGUUUUGCUAGGGAAUAAUUGGAUUCAGGAUCGGAACUAUCAACCUCCAGCACCUAGGAUUCAUUUCCCAGCACUUCACUGAAUUCCUACUUCUUUGGCGGGGGCAACCAGAGAAGCCCAGCUACGUCCAGACAUUCAAGACAGCAUCUAUUGGAAGUUAACCGAAGAUGGAGCAUGCACGACAGGAUCAGCAUAUUGAGCAAAAUUUCUAGCAUCUGUACAAACUACCUUUCACACAUUCAAACGUGGGCGUCACAAAAGUGCAGGUUAGCUAGCCCUUCAAAAUAGAAUCGGAACACUUGAAGUUCGUGGAUGCACUACUGAACCAUCGAUCUUUAAAGCGCGUUUGGAUCCGGUGGCAAACCUCUCGUCUCGCCUUGUUUGCACAGAAGUUGGAGCAGUUGAUGAGUUUGGUUCCUUGACGUGCUGCCUAGGGACCUGUGCAAGCGAGUUUUUACUUGCUGAAAGCAAGCCAGCCGGAACCGCUCUCCGCCGGCGGCGAGCCUUGCCUGGCAAAGCGAGGUUAGACGAAGCUUAUGUCCAAAACCAAACGUGCCCUUGGUAUCCGUCACAGGCCGGCCGCAAAAUUAUGCAUCUGCGCGGCCGCCUCCAUCAUCCCGGACAUCUUCGAUCGGACCCCGUGGCACCGGGCCCACAAGAGGUAUCCCACACCCAAACCUCAGCACAGCACCGACGAUUCACCAAUUCAUUUCUCCUGCGGCCCACCUAUCCUUUCUCUCCUGUUCUCUCUCUCGCGCUAGAGAACUCCGGCAGCCUCAUGGCACCCCAACAUCCUCACGCGCGCGCGUCGCAGAUUCCCUAAGCGGCGGGCGCGCGCGCUGCCUCGAGCGCGCCUCCGGAGGCGAGCUGCUUCGGAUCGAGGCGUGCUGCGGCCGAUCCAGAUGGUUUGGAGCAGAUUGAAGCGGCUGGAGGAGUUCCUCACGGAGGAUCUCGACAUGGGGCGGAGUUCAAAUCCAGAGCUCUGGAGAUGAAGGAGCUCGAAUCGCCUCUGCCUCAAUCGCGCACCGGCAGCCCUCUCGUCGAUCUGGUUCCCUGCCGCCUCCGCAUCGAUGUGCUGCAAGUGCCACAUUUCUGCAGGGCUGCGAGGUCGUCGUGGCCGAGCAACUGGUGGGCAAGGCCACGGCGAUUGAAGAGGAACCUGGGUGCCUCCAUGAGCCGGGCGAGCACAACGCUACGCUGCCACUCGUCGGUCUCCGGCCAAAAUUGGUGAGGGGAAUAUGUUCAAAAAGCCUCCAAUUUCGUUUCCCCUUGGCAUUCCUCUCCGAUUUGGUGCAUGGGAGUCAGAACCAUUGGUGCUCCUAUUUUAACUCUUCUUCUGGCUGUGCCCGUGAGAUGGUGGUUGAAACGAUCAAUCGUGCAAUUCUAACUCUUAGCUCUACAGAUACUACCCCUUUUGCCUCAUUGUUCCCUUUGAUGCUUGGUCUGUGGCUUUAGUGCUUUGUUAGACGGGUGAUUAUGAACGGAUGGGUAAUAUAUGGAUGCAAAUAUGGUUUCUGUUUUGCUAAGUGAUAAUCUAAUCAAUGGCCUAGACUGUUCUAAAUGAUUGAUUUGAUUGGAGGAGCACAGCAUCUCAUCAAGCUCUUUCUCAAUUAUUAGACCAGAAUUAGUUGAUACUUUAUUCAGCCAUGUGAUUCUUUAAUUACGUCCAACUUGGCAUCAAGGAGAUAUUACUACUUCCCCCCUUGUUACUACCAUUUCCUAACCAGAUGGGUCAGACCUGAGUGUUCAUCUAAAGUUCAGAGAAUAGUAGUGUUUUUACAAACUGGUAGUAAGCAGGAAGGUCGUGAAAGGGCCUCUAGCCUAGUGGUUUGAGCACCAUUUGGGAGCGAAUUAAACAUGUCUGAAAUAAAAAUAUUAUAUAACUUGCUAGAAGUGUUCUGUUCACAUAUAGAUGCCAUGCAUUUUUUAUGUACAUUAAAUUUGAUGUGAUAUUAGUCAGAACUAGUGUAUGAUUUAUAAGAGCUUCUCAACUGUAGUUUUCUAGUUUGAUGUGCUUCAGUUUUUUGGAACUAAACUACUGGACAUGAUUCUGCAUGCUGAAAGCAGUUAGAACUAUUUUUUACUUGUAGACUUUGUAUUUUUGUUGGUGAUAGCUGUUUAGUUCUGUUCUUAUUUGUCUCCAUUGGUAAUCUGAGUACACAGCUGUGUAACUGUGAGUUCUUAUUUGUUAGCAAAAUGUGUUGGUUUCCUGUGGCUUAUCAAUGCUUUUUGUCUGUUAUGAAUGUUUGAUGACUUCGCACUGAUGUUCUCCAAUAUGUAAAUUGAAAUAUACAUAUUUGAAGCUAUGGAGCUUGCAUAGGCCUUGAUGGUCUACCUCCUACCUAGAUUAAUCUUUGUUGGAGAGGGGUGGGGUUUUUUCUUCUUUCGUUUUGUGUUGAUUGUUUUCUAAAUGCAUUACUGUAUAUAUGUACUACUUAUCCACUAGACAGGUCCAAUUUUGAAAUCUAUGCAGUACAGCUGAGGCUCAUCUGAUUGUUUUUUUUCUAUAGUUACGCAUUUUAUCAUUUUAACUUAGGCAAAGUUAUUGUUUUAGAUAGGCAAAGUACUGUUCUUAACUAAGCAAAUAUGAUUUUAUUCAAUUAAGCAAAUUACUGUUGUCUCUAGUUUGGCAUUUCACCUGUUUAAUUUAGGCACAUUUAUUCUUUCAGCUAGGCAAAAGUACUAUACUAACUAGGCAGAUCUUAUUUUUUAAUUAAGCAAAACAUUGCCUUGUCUAGUUAGACAUUUUUACUUGUUCCAGUUAGGUAGAAUUUUCCUGCACUUGGGAAUUCUUAUUCUUAUGCUUUGGUAGUUUUCAUUUCAUUGCCAUGUUCUAUCCUGACAUGGAAAUGUUCUUCCCUGUUGUCAACCUAGCACACAGGAAAUCAUCAAGUGUUCUUCCCUGUUCAGUCCUAACAUGGCAACAUAAGCUGGAGAUAUCAUUCAGUUGCUGGAAUGGGAAGCCACUGCCAAUGUACGAACAACCACCACUACAUCAUCUCAGACAAGGUGAGUGCACUUUGCAAUCUGGUUUCGACUCCUUGGCUUCCGCCAUAUUCAUUGCCUAAUACUAUACUGAACCUCUGCCAUCCAUUGCACUGCAUCAGAAUAGAUAGCCUGUGUGGAGUGUGUUGCACAUGUACGAUGAUGCCAAGUAAAAGCAAUUAAUAUGAGCUACUGUAAGUUCUGACAACUAGGAGUGUGUUGCUACUCCAAUUAACUUCAUGACAGUGCAAUAUAGAGUAUACUGCCUGAUGCUAUGUGCAUGAAAUUUAAUGGUGUUAGAAAAUGCAACGUUUUCCUGCAGGAGCAAAAGGUGGGAUUGACCAUCAAACUUAAGCUGCAGCCAAGGCUGGUGGAGGGCUAGGUACAUAUAACUCAUUUAAACAUCUCUUCCUUAUGCUUAAAAUGCUUUUGCUAGUUCACUUAUGUUUCAAAUGCUUCAGAUGCACGUUAGGUUUCAAAAGCUUGUUUAGAAACACAUAAUCUGUAUUGUAGUCUUGGUCAGAUAAAUAUGCACUUUGCUUUAGAUUGGUGUGCCUUCACUUAUGUAGUUAUUUACUUUUCACAUGUCAUAGAAUCUGUUUUUGUAUUUUUUGUUGCAACUCAUUAUAUAUCUUGUAACACACACAGACUAUGUGCUUCUACAAAGGGGCAUUUUGUAUAAUCUGUACAAUGCUGUCACAAGGGGUUGUUUUGGUUUUACUCAUAACCGGUAUGCAUAUGGGGUGGUCCAGUUUAGAAUCUAAGCAAUUUACUAAGCAAUUUAGCGUAUACAUGCCAAGAAUUUUAUAUGAAAUUGGAAGCAAUUUCAUAUGAGCCACUAUGCAAUUGUGCUUAUGAGCCACUAUGUAGUAUUUGGCUAUCCUGUUAGUACCUCUACGUCUGUUAGUUCUGAAUAAUCGAAGUUAGAGAUAUUAGCAAUUCUACAAUGAAGCAUUGUAGGUUGUGCAACAUACAUGCUGUCACACUGUAGUCUUUUUUUUUCAUUACAUUGCAGGUCAUGUGCAUGGAAGCAAAUAUCAAGUACCAAACAGAGAAGCAAAUGUGUUUGCUGUUGUCCUAGUAGUACACAUUGCAAAUACGAGUGUAUUAGUUACGGACAACGCAUUUUUUCCUGUGCUUCUGGUGUGCACAUUUUUCCUGAUUGUGUAGUUAUGAAAAAUGAAUGCUAGUGUGAUGCAGGCAAUAACAUGGUAGGAUCAUUUCUGAGAUGAAACGUGCAGGCAUCAAUAUUUUUUUGUCGUAUCCAUUACGGGGAGCUGGCAAGUGGCAGCGCUGAGGGAGGUUGGGGGAGUGCAUGCACCGAGGACAGCUUUUACCCGAAUAGGAAUGCUUGGGGACUGCUCGUUUAAUUAUUGCCUAAAAGGGUCAGGCCGUACUAGCGGCCUAAUUUACGGCGCUUCCAAUAUAAAAUAGAUUUUAAAUACUGGAAGUUUAUAAGGAAAAAAACUAUCGGAGGAAUCUUGGCGGAUUUGGAUUCGUUGCUGACAAGUUGGAUUGGCUAGUAUUGGAGGUAGAUUGGUUGCUAUGCUUAUUUAUGUGCGGAUUUUAUUUUGGACUUCGCCCACUAUCCGGUUUACAAGUAUAUGACUUAAAUGGACAUUAUUUUCUUUAUAAAAAUAUGAAUGUGUUUAUUUUACUAUUCAUGGGGAUGUUGUAAAUGUGUACAUACUUCAACGGAUUGUUAUUCAGGACAAGGAAGAUAUAUUGAAAAUGUGACAUUAUUGUUUUUUUUAUAGUUUUCUAGUUAUAGCUUGAUUACUUUUUUAUGAAGCUAAAUAAUGUAUGUAGCUAUACAUAGCAUUUGAAUACAAACCGGAAAUUUAAAUUUUUAUGUUUCCAAACUAACUAUUUUGAAAAGUGUUGAUGGCCAAAAUGCGUCUAGAUCCACUACAAGAAAUCUUUUGACCGAUAAAAAUUUGAUGAUGAAUGUCAUCAUAAAUUUAUGAUUUUUUUUGCUGAGAACAUCAUCAGUUCUCAUCAAAUAUUGCAUCCGACCAAAUUUAGUGAUGAAGUUACGAGAUGUUAAAAAAGUUGCCAUCGAAACCAAAUAGAAAACACCACCAUCGAAACCAAAUAGAAAACACCACUUAUUGUUACACGGUGAUUUUGUGAUGAUUUCAAGGUUUGCAAAAAUACCAUAAACUGAUUAGGAUCCAACAUGUAAGAUUAAGUUGAAAAAUAGGAUGGAAAAAUAAGGUGAAAGGGUGCUCAUCUCGGUGUCGAACCUGUUAUCCAUCGAUUGGGAACUGUUGAGCCAAUAGCUAUGCUGGAGCCGUUUGUCAGUUUGUAUCUUUAAAAUUUUUUAUUAUAGUAGUAGAUGAGCCGUGCAUACCCACAUCUAAGUAUAUCAUGAGUUGCUGCAAUAUAUUUUGAUACUUGAUGUGGGAAAAACCCACCUAGAGAAAAUCGGCAUGCUUGGGGUGAGAAAAGCCCCCGCUCCCUGGGCAAAUUGGCAUGCAUAUCUGCGGCUCAGUAGUGUAGUGGCUCGGUGGAAAUGGCACAUGGAGUUAGAAUGGAAAAGGAAACAAACUCCAAUCAGGUGAGCUUCUAGUUCCAAUUGUUGUAGCCCCUUGUCCCCAUUGUCCUUGACUACGGGUUAUCCUACUGUAGAUCUGGGUUGAAGAAAUUACAUUUCAAUUUUAUGAUGUUGUUACGUUUUAAUUUGGAUUGGUGGUAUGAAUUGAUAGGUUCUACGGUCGCUUGGAGUCAUUGAUAGCUUCAGAACGGGGUCGCCUGCCCAUGCCAUUACCUUUAUGGAUCCUAAAUAUGAGUGAUUGUUGAUUCAAAAUUAAUUGUCGAUCCUUGCAAAGAUUGGCCAUGUAUAGAUGUCAUUGACAAAGAUCCAAAUCGGUUGUCUCAAGCCCGAAGUGUGGAUCCAAAGUUUUCCAAUAACAACGUAGAAACCACUUCUAGUAUGCCUAUACUCGACAGGCGGUGCAACAAGUUCAAACCGGAGAUGUUAAAGCCAAAAAUAACUUGAAAUUGGUGUUUGGAAAACUAUUGAAUCCAAAGGCCAUAGCAAGCAUAAAAAGAAAAAGCCGAAGCCAAAUGAGAAGCUUUCGGCUAGUUCCAAAGACAAAAGAAUGUCAAUAUGUUAGUUGGCCUAAAAAUUCCAAGCACUCAAAAUCUUAUCCAAGGCAAAAUUUCCAUGGUCAGAAUCAACAAUGGAAUAAUUUUCCUACAUCAAUGUUGUUUCCUUCACAUGGAUCACCUACACCAAUGCCGUGGGGUUCAUAUUGUAGCAUAUCUUAUUCUUAUCCAUCAUGUUAUAAUUCAUGUAUGCCACCUUUUCCUAGAUAUUUGUGUCCAAAUUAUAUUACCUACAAGGAGCCGGCAAUUAAUGAGCCACCACAAAUAGAUAAUGACAAUUUUGAUAAGGAAUCAGUCUACGUACCGAAAUAAAUGUAAGGUGAUUAAACAAGUCUACAGUGUCAAGAAAGAUGGUAGAUUGAAAAAAACUUAGAUUUGAUACUAGACACAAAAAGCUGACUAUUGAAGAAAAAUUAGCUAGUUCUAUUGAUCCAAUUGUCCCCAAUAAUGAGCAUGAUUUGGAUAAUAUAGCUGAACAGAAAUAAAGUUCGGUUGGGGGCAAGAUGAUAUCAAAGUGUCUAGUUUUACCAAAACUAGUCCAACCAGUGUUGAAACCUAUCCAACUGGUUUUGAUAGGAAUUAUAGAAAAAACUGAUUUUACGAAAAACCAGUCCAACCGGUGUUGAAACCGGUCCAACCGAUUUUGCUACGAAUUAUAGAAAAACUGAAAAUUUCAGAUCAAACAACAUGGUGAUAAGGAAGAAGCUAAGAUUUGAUGAUCUGUUACAUAAUAUCAGAAAAUAGCCUCCCAAAAUCAAAACAAUCAGUUUGAGAGCAAUCAAAGGAGGAAUUUUUGGUCAUCAAGAGCAAAGAAGCAUCAACGGUCAUCUUAUUGGUCUUCAUAAUUUUCUCCAUCGAUGCUUGUACCAUAGAGUGCAUAUCUAAGUAUAAGUAAUUAUAAUCCAUAUUUUUGUACAAUCCUUGAUUCUCAUUUUAUGAUUAUUAAUAUUAUGCUUAUACUUUACCAAGGAGCCAUAAAUUAUAUGAUCGGCUACCAUGGCCGCAUCAAAAUUUCUAUUAUUAAGUAUGCUUAGAUGUUUCAAAGCUGAAAGUAACUGUUUCAUAAAUAUUCAUAUGAUGUUGUACUCGUUAGAAUAUUAUUUUGGCUACAUUAGUAUCCAUAUAAGGUGUAAAAAUCAUCAUGUGUGUGAUGUAUUGUUCAUCAUCGUUCUUAGAUAAUUUUGAUCAUUAAGAAUGUUUUGUGAUGUGCAAGCUUUACCAAAAAAUAGGGGGCCAUGCGUGGAUGAUCAAAAUUGAAAGAUUUGGGCUAACCGAUCUCUAAACCGGUUAGACCAGUUUGAUUGAAAAUGCUCAAAUAGUAAAUAGGAUUUCACCAUUGUGUAUCUCUCAUCGAGACAAUCAAAAUGCAUAUGUAGAACAUCCGAUUUGGAGUUCGGAUGAGAGAGUUAUACUCUCGGGAAGAUCUGCAUGCGAGGAAAGACGUCAGACCGGUUUGCAAACAAGUCAGCCUGGUUUGGUCUGUGUAGUCUAAGUUAGGAGUUAUAUUUUAACAUGAGAUUUGUAAGGAUUUUCAACUCCUAACGGGGCAAGACCGCCCAUCCUUAUAAAUAUAAAGGGCUACGGCCAAUUGAGGCCAUCCCAAUCGAUAAAAAACUAAUUUAUUACUUUUUAUCCUUUACUUUUCCACUUUCCCCUACUUUUCCAACCCAUGCGCUGUCUUCUCUUGUCUCAAUGGUAUGAUAAUUAAGACGUCCUACCUGGCGUGCUGAGCCUAGGGCAACUCAAGGUGUACCUGGUGCGACGGGCCCUCCCGGGCGUGCGUUUGUUGGCCCUUCAUCGAGCUCCCCAAUGAAAUCGGUCUAACCGGCUUGUCAAAUCUGACUGACUGGUUUGGCAUAGAGGUACUGCAAGGAGCUCCUCUGAGCGCUGCACGAGUAUUUGGCGCAGCACAUUUUCAUAUUAACAGUGACUUUCCCGUGAGUAUUUCAAUGGAUUGACAUGGGAAGUGUAACUAUAGAUUUGUUAACCGAGGCUUUGGACUUGGCCUUGCCGAUGAAUUCGACAAGAAAAAUAGCAAUGUAACACAAGAGGGAAGAUCAGCUAUGACAUUGCCAUCCUAUAUGACCUGAAAGACCAUCUUGAUGGCUUAUGGAAAAUUUUUAUUUACCAAAAAAUUAUACUGAACAAAAGAAUUUCUUUCACGACAUCACCCCGCAAACAUGAGAAGGCCCGGAGACAUGGCCUACGGCUACCAUUGUAUGAUUAAAACUCUCUGAUAGAAAUUCACCUUAUUACAAGACAAAUAAAAUUGGAUUUCUUUAAAUAGAAAAACUAUAUUUCUAUAUAAGGUAUUCUCUUUUCAUGGAUUCAUGUUUCACGUCACAAAAUAUAACGAUAAAAAUGACGAUGAUGUGGUCAAGACCAUUCGGAAAAAGAAAAUGAACUGUUUGAAUUUUUUUAAAGUAAAAAAGGAGUCUAAAUGUUAGCAUGAAAAAAUCUAGCUACCCGCACAAAUAAUAAAAUCCAAGCUUAGUGAGAUGCUUUGGGUUGAGCAGGGGGUAUCUUAUUGGAAUAAAUAUCUUUAUUAAAUAUAACAUGCCAAUAGUUUGUGGUCUUUAUAUUAUUACAGAAUUACAGAAUGCUUAAACAGCCAAGAAGUUCCACUUGAUCUUUACAUCAAGCCUUAUUCGAAAAGAAAACAUGAACGAAAGCCAAGGUGUGAAUCAUAAAGAAACACAUCCACAUGCUGGUGCCUUUACAGCACUCUGCAGCGAGCGAAGCAGAGCACCCUAGCCAGUGUUCUGCAUGCCGGCGGCGAUGCCCUUCAUGGUGAGGAUGAGCGUGUCCUCCAGCCCCGGCCCGUACUCGCUCGCCGGGUUGAGCUUCACAAUCCCGCGCGGCUGGUUCUCGUCGGCGAACUCCUUGGACAGCGGCGGCUGCGGCGUCACCUUGAAGUUCGGGUCCCUUAUCCUCUUCAGGGUGUAGGCCUGCCACACGUUAAGAAUGGUGAUGUAGGGGUCGCGCAGCCGCAGCUGCUGCUUCAGGCCGGGAUCGCUUUCAAGGAUUUCCUUGUGCCCAGCAACCUGCACAAAGAUGGUGAGUAGUCAGGAUUUCCUUGUGCCCAGCAAUCUGCACAAAGAUGAAAUUCAUUCAUAUGAGUUUUAAUUUAUUACCUGCAGGAUAAGCUUCUCUGUUUCCACGUAGUUGUUCCUGAGCUGCUCCCCGAAUGGCUUGAGUUCGUCGGCGACGAGCAGCUGGUCGUAGAGGCCGGCGAUGGUGGGGUCUCCCUUGGCUAAGACCAUCUCGAGCAGGUCCAGGGUGACCCUGAAGAAUGGCCACUCGUUGUACAUCUCCUUGAGCAUCUGGAAGUUCUUGAUAUCCUUCUUCAUGGCGUGCUUGAACGCGGCGCCGAACCCGAGCCACACCGGGAGGUGGAACCUCGUCUGCGUCCACGAGAAGAUCCACGGGAUCGCGCGGAGCGACUCGAUGCCGCCCUUCGGCUUCCUCUUCGCCGGCCGGCUGCCGAUGUUCAACCUGCCGUACUCCGUCUCCGGGGUAGCCGACCGGAAGUACUCCACGAACCGGGGCUCCCUCAUGACGACGGAGCGGUACUCAUCGGUGGCGACGGCGGCGAUCUCGUCCAUGAGCGCGCGCCACUCAGGCUUGGGGGAGACCGGCGGGUGCAUGCCGUGCUCGAGCGUGGCGGCGGUGAAGCGCUGCAGCGUCCGGAAGCAGAGGUGCUCUUCGCCGAAGGAGGUUUCGAUGACCUCGCCCUGCACCGUCACACGGAGGGACCCGUUGAUGGUGUCCGGCGGCUGGGACAGGAUGGCGAGGUGAGUCGGCCCGCCGCCCCUGCCGACGGUGCCGCCGCGGCCGUGGAACAUGGUCAGCUUCACGCCGUAGCGCUUCGCCACCUUCGCCAUCGCCUCCUGCGCCUUGUACAGGUGCCACGCCGCCGACAGCCGGCCGGCGUCCUUGCCGGAGUCCGAGUAGCCGACCAUCACCUGCUGCUUGCCGCCGAUCCGGUUCAUGUACCAGUCCAGGGAGAAGAGCCGCUCUAUGGACGCCGGCGCCGACUGCAAGUCGGCGAGCUUCUCGAACAGCGGGACCACGGGCAGCGGCUGCUUCACGUGGCACUCACGCUGCAGGAGCUCGACGGCGAGCACGUCGGAGGGCGCCGUCGCCAUGGAGAUGAUGUACGGGCCGAAGCUGUCGCGGGGCAGCUCGGCGAGGACGUGGAAACAUCCGAGCACGUCGGCGAUCUCCUCGGUCUGGGGCAUGUCCUUGCUCAGCAGUGGCCGCUUGCCGCGGAGCUCGGAGAGCAGCCACUCCUGGCGCUUCUCCUCGGACCACUCGCGGUAGGACCCGAUGCCGAGGUGCGUGGUGAUCGCGUCGAUCACGUCGGUGUGACGCUCCGACUCCUGACGGAUGUCCAGCUUCACCAUGGAGAGCCCGAACGUCGAGACCUGCCGCAUGAAGUCGAGCAGGCUCCCGUCGGCGAUGGUCUUGUCACCACAGUCACACAGGGAUUUGUAGCACAGCUCAAGGGGCUCCAGGAACUGACCAAAUUUGAAGGGUUCCACAGUGACAUUAGUUAAACUAUAUUAUGAUAAGGAGCAUGACAUUAACAAAUAACAAUGUUUAUGGAACCCUCAAAAUAACAAGAGGAGCAUGAUGCCGGAUUACCUCUUCAACAUUCUUAAAGGCCGAGUCCUCCGGAAUGUCAGAAAAUCCACUAGUUAGCAGAUGGCGCGAGCGUUCGCGUGUGCUGUACAAUUUGUCCCUCACAUAACCAAGCACCACGCGAUACGGUUCAUUUGCAGGAAGUUGCCUCCAGAAUUCUGCACCAACGAAUUCUCUUCAGAAAAUUGGCAAACUGACAAGGCUGAUUCUUGUUAACAUCAUAGAGACUCCUCUUGAAGCCUCCACAUGAAGGCACCUAGGAUUCUAAGUGGGCACUUUAAAAAAAGAAAAAAUACUAGAAAUUUUCAAAAAAGCAAAACAUCUAGCCAUCUAUCUAUUCAGUAUACUUAAAUCAUCCAAUUCGUUGAACUAUUAUGUUCCUGCCAUUAUGAAAAUAGUUUAAAGUAACCUCAGUAUAUAUCUAAAUUACCUACAUAUGCCAUUACAUAAAAUAAACUAAAGUACACCUAAUCUUUGUCUAAAUUACCCACUUAUACCAUUAUUAAGAAUAGUUUAAAAUAACCCACUAAAUUUGUUUCAAAUUGCCCACCACUUACAUUAUAAAAAAAUAACUUAAAGUAAACCCUUAAGUUUACAUCUAAAUUACUCACAUAUUCCAUGUUUAAAAAUAUAUCCCAAGAUACACCAAUAUAUUAUUCUAAUCAUUAAGGUAUAUACGCAUGAUGUAUGUCACCAUUUAUAAAUAUAUAGAGGAAGUGAUAAGAAUACAUAUUUUCAUGUUAAAAAUAUAUCUCAAACUUAGGUUCCAUUAAACAAAUUUAAGAGUGUAUCUACGGUGCAAGUGAAACAAGAUAUUAUAAAUAUAGAUGAAAAUGUUAUAGAGUAAUUACUACUAAAAUCUUUUAUAAUCCGAUGAAGAUAAUAAAUAUUAGAAUAUUAAAAAAAUGAGAGUGAGUUCAAGGUAACAGUUUUGAGUGUUUAGCUAUGUGCUCUUAUUUUUUUUUAAUUGGAGAAUCUACAUUAAUCCCCAUGAGACGCAAUAGGAAAAAGAUAAAUCCAAGAAAUUAUCACAAAAAUUGAAACAUCCACGUAUCAAUCUGGUAGACAAUCUAUCAUUAUGAAAAAUAUUCUAAAGUAAACCCCUUAGUCUAUAUCUAAAUUACCCACAUCUACCAUUAUAAAAAUAAUCUAAGGUAACUCCAUAAUCUUUAUCUAAAUUACCCUUGCAUGUCAUCAUAAAAAAUAAAUUAAAAUACUCUUCUAAAUUUGUAUCUAAGUUACCGGCAACCUAAAGUAAUUAUCUGUGUGGUCAUUAUACAAAAUGUCCAAAAGUAACCCAAUAUAUGAUACUAGACAUUUCUAUCAUUUUUAAUAUAGAAAUACAAAGUGAAUGUAUAUAUGCAUGAUGGGUGUUACCAUGUAGAACAUUUAUACAUGUAUGAGAGGAAGUGAUGAAAACUACAUGAUUUUCAUGUUAAGUACAAUAUAUGGAGUGAGAUGCAAAGUGAAAAAAGGUACGAAUAUGAAUGAAAAAAUAUAUAGAGUAAUUACUAAUUAAAAGUUAAUCACAACCCAACAAAGACAAAUGCACGUCUAUAUGAGUAUUGGUGUUAGAAUAUUAAAUAAACGAGAGGGUCAUAGGUAAAAAGUUUGAUUACUUACUAGGGUGUCUAAUUUUUAAAUUACUUCAUAAUACAAUGGCUUCUAAAAUUAUUAAUCCAUGCAGGAGCACGGAUUGAUGGUCUAGUUAUUCAAAUUUGAAUAGACUAGUAGAGACUUUGCAAAAGCUUGUAUGGAAAAAUAUUCUAUGAUUAGGUGAUACAAACAAACAUAUCGAUUAAAUAUGUAUAUAUCUUCAAAAAGGACUGCAAAUUGAGGCUAAAAUUAGUUUGUUUGAGUUACCAAUAUAAUGCUUGGAAAUUUUCUGUGAAGAAGCGUGAAGUUCUUCCGCUCGAGCACGGAGUUCGUCAUUGCAGCGCCACAUAGAGAGCUACAAAUAUAUCAGAUGAGACUAGCAACAAUAGGUAAUACUAGAUGAGCAUUAGGAAGCAUGAAUCAAACACAUUUCUACAAUACCUCGAACAUCAAUUCUUCUAUCUGAGAGAAGUACAAGUUUGACGCCAUCAUUCUUGCAAGCAAGCAUACAUCCCUUGUCACCUCUGGCGUAACUCUUGGAUUUCCUACAGAAACCAAACGUAUGGAGACUUGAAGGGGAAAACAAAUGCUAGGAACACUAAAAAUACUCAUCACUCAUUACUUAGACGCAAUCCGAAUACUUUUUUCUAGAGAAAACUAGAGUAUCACAUCAAGGAAAUUAAAAAGAAUUAAUUGAUAAUCCACUGCCACAAAAAUGUGUUCCGGAAUCAGAAGAUCAUUCGCAUCUGCAAAGGAGGAUUUACCAUCGCGGUCGCCACCCAUCCAAGAAGAGAACUGAAUGAGAGGAGCAUUGUAGGGGAGACGCUCAUCAAUCCCGAUGUUCUUUAGAGCUGUAUCCACACGUCGCAAAAACUUUGGGACACCCUUCCAUAUAGUUUCAUGAAAAUAGCUCAUCCCGUAACGCAUUUCAUCCUGUGGGGUUGGUUGUGCUCUCCGAAUUUCGUCUGUUCUAAAACAUGCUUGGAUCUGCGAAGAGCAAACACCAGGCAUUAGAACGAAUUGAAAUUCCCGAAGCAUUAAAAAACAGGAUCUUCACCCUGCCCUAGUUCAAGUGGACUGGAUCAUGAUGAAAUAAAAUAUGUGAAAGGUAACACUAGUAAUUUAGCAGAUUUCCAGUAAAAGAAUUCAAAAAUCUCUAUUGAAGUACUCAUAUAAUGAAAACCGUAUGGCACAGUGGAAAGAAGACAAUGUAAUAACACGACAGAACCAUAGCCAUAGGAUAAAAUUUUUACUGUUCUAAUGGCAGGGUAGUAAUAAUUGUGUAAACAAAAAAAUAGUACUAUUGUGUGUUUCUUAUUUGGAAUUGAAGGAAUCAAUAAAAAAAUUGUCAGAAACUUUGAAGAUAUUUUAUACCAAUUGCAGUGAGCUAGUUCCUUUGAGCAAGCACGAGUUCACUUUAAUCUUACUACCAACCUUUGGUACCAAUACUUUUCACCAGCUAAUAGAACGAUUUGAUAUUUGAACAAUCUUACUAUAUAAAUUGGAAGCUCCUUUCAAAGUUGCAAGGUGCCACCUAGGAUACUCUAAAAAAGAGAGAAAUUCUAGAAAUUCUCACAAAAUUAGAUGUUUCUGGCCAUCAAUAUGGUAGACUCUAAUCACAAUUGAUGAUAAUAGCCAUUGGAUCUAUUACGUUUUUUAAAAAAAUUACCCACCCAUGCUAUUAUGAAAAGAGUUUGUAACCUCCUAAAUCUACAUAUAAAUUCCUCCAAAUGAGCCGUAUCAUGUGAUGCUUGGUUAUGUAAGAUAAAUUGUACUACUCAUGCAAACGUUCGCGCCAUCUGCUGACUACUUGAUUUUCUGACAUUCCGGAGGACUCGGCCUUUAGCAAUGUUGCAGAGGUAAUUCGACAUCAUGCUCCUUUGUGAUUUAAGUGUUCCAUAAAUAAAUUUUCUUUGGAAGCUUCUCAUCAUAGUAUGAUCAUCUUACCAUUACUAAUUGAAAGCUCCUUUUGAGGCCUUCACAUGAAGCCACCUAGGAUCCUAGGUGGACACUCUAGAAAAAUACAGAAAUUCUAGAAAUUCUAUCAAAAAAGAAAAAUAUCUAGCCAUCAAUUAGGUAGACUCAAAUUAUCAUAGACAUUAAAUCUAUUAUAUUUUCUAAAAAUUACCCACCCUAACAUUAUAAAAAUGUCUAAAGAAACCCCCUAAAUCUAUAUCUAAAUUACUCACCACUACCAUUUUAUAAAAUAAACUAAAUUACCCCUAAUCUUCAUCUAAAUUUUCCACUUAUGCUAUUAUAAUUUUUUAAAAUAAUUCCAUAAAUUUGCAUUUAAAUUGCCCACCACUAACAAUAUAAAUUAAAAUUAAAAUUAAAGUAACCCCUUAAAUUCGCAUCUAUAUUACCCACAUAUCCCAUUAUCGAAAAUAACAUGAGGUAAACCUAAAUCUAAAUUCAAAUUAUAUCCAUUAAAAUAUAUCCUCACGGUACACCAAUAUAUGAUUCUAAAUUAUCUAUUUCUUACAUUGUUUAUAUAGAAAAUAAUAAUUAAGGUAUAUACGCACAUGAUGUGUAUCGCUGUUUAUAAAUAUAUAGAGGAUGUGUGUCGCCAUUUAAAAUAUAUUUCCAUGUUAAAAAUAUAGAUCAAACUUAGGGUCUAUUAAACAAAUUCAAGCAUAUACCUACAAUGCAAAGUGAAAAAUAAAGAUUAUAAUGUGGAUGAAAGCUUUAUAGAGUAAUCACUAACUAAAGUCUACCAUAAUCGGAUGAACAUAAUAAGUACAUACCUAUAUAAGUAUUGUAUUAGAAUAUUUAAUAAACUAGAAAGCGCUUAAGGUAACAAUUUUGAUUGUUAGCUAUGUGCCCUUAUUCUUUAAUUGGAGACUUCGUAUCAAUUCUCAUGACACGCACUAGCAAAAAAAGAUAAAUCCUACAAAUUCUCACAUAAAAGUGAAACAUUUAGGCAUCAAUCGUGUAGACUCUAAUAAUCAUAGUCAUUGGUCUAUUAUAUUUUCUACAAAAUUAUCCAACACUAUAAUUAUGAAAAUAUUGUCCAAAUUCUCCCUAAACCUAUAUCUAAAUUAUCCAUCUCUACCAUUAUAAAAAAAUAAUCCAAUGUAACCCCAUAAUCUUCGUCGAAUUAUCCAUUCAUGUUAUUGUGAGAAAUAACUUAAAAUAUCUUCUCAAUUUGUAUUUAAAUUAACACAUACGUGGUUAUUAAAAAUAACCUAAAGUAAGUACCUAAAUCUACAGAAAUAUCCAAAAUAAAAAAAAUAUGAUUCUAAAUUACCUAUUCUACCAUUAUUAAUAUAGAAAUACUAAGUUAAGGUAUAUAUGCAUGAUGGGUGUCACCACAUGUAGGCGAUUUAUAAUUGUAUCAAUGUAUGGGAGGAAGAGAUGAAAAAUAUUGAUUUUCAUGUUAAACACAAUGUAUGGAGGUGCGAUGCAAAGUGAAAAGGUAUGAACAUGGAUGAAAAAGUGUAUAGAUUAAAUAACUGGACAAAGAUAAGUACACAUCUAUAUGAAAUUUGUGUUAGAAUAUUAAAUAAAUGAGUGUGUCCUAGCUAAAUAAUUUUGAUUAUUAGAUAGAGGGUCUAGUUUUUAAAUAGUUUUCUAAUACAAUGGCUCUUAAAAAUGUUGACGUACGAAGAAUUUUUGGGCCCACUAACUUACACGUGUCAUGCUGAAUGUCAUGAGCUCACAAGUCCACAUAUUGUGUUCUAUACUAUCUUUAUCGGAAGAAGAAUUUAACGACAAAAAGAGAUGGGCAGUCACUCUUCAGCCUCACAUGCAUGGGAGAAAUGUCAGAAUGGCCUGUCUGGUACCCUGGCAUGGCACUUGUAUGAUGCAACCGAGCAAGAACAAGAGUGAAAAGGAGGGCCUUAAUGGUGAUAACAACACUGCCGUAAUAUCGAUUGCAAUAACAUGAUCGUUUUCUUGGAAUUCAUUAGGUAAACAAAGUCAGAGCCUCAAAUUUGCAGGAAUUAUCUUGAUUCACUAUGCAAAAGUUUUGAUGUUCACUAGUGUUGAAAUGUAAGUACCUCCCUCUGCAGAGCCUCGUCGAGCUCCUGCUUAUCGUCCUCCGUGAUGUCCUUGGCAUACAGCUGCGUGAGGCAGUUCCGGAUCCUGCGUGCAAGGACAAGACGAACAUUUCCGUUCCGUAAUAAUGAAGAAAUGGAUUGGAAUUGUUCACGGAUUUGGAUGCAGAAUAAUGACCCGUGUACCUGGCGUGCUUCUGGAGGAGCGACCUUCGGACGGACUGCGUGGGGUGGGCGGUGAAGACGAGGUCGACGGUCUGGUUCUUGAGCGCGUCGAAGACCUCCUCCUUGGACUUUCCGAGCUCUGUGACGAGGCGCUUGAGCGUCUCCUCGAUGUCAGACUCGGUGGCAGCGAAGCCCUCGUCGGCGAAGUCCCCGCGCUUGAGCUUGUUCCGGCGGAGGUGGGCGAGCUGCACCUCCUCCGCGAGGUUUGUUAGGUUGAGCAUGUUCGAGAAGGAGCUCGCCACGACGAUGGCGUCAUUGGGGGACAGCUUGGUGAGCCUGGACCCGAGCUCGCUCAGCUUCGCGGCGUCGCGAUCGCGCUCGUACUCCGCCGCCACCUCGUAGCACUCCUGGAC
Molecule: long non-coding RNA, 23331 nt
Filed under: Setaria italica (foxtail millet)
Lineage: Eukaryota; Viridiplantae; Streptophyta; Magnoliopsida; Poales; Poaceae
Description: long non-coding RNA (SITA_LNC003121)
Source: RNAcentral